This 499-nucleotide ribosomal RNA is filed under the name uncultured bacterium. RNAcentral's name for it is "bacterial SSU rRNA". It matches the Rfam family "Bacterial small subunit ribosomal RNA", at positions 28 to 508 of the family's 1533-position model. The record is from RNAcentral.
GACGAACGCUGGCGGCGUGCCUAAUACAUGCAAGUCGAGCGAACGAGGAAGAAACUUGUUUCUUCCUUUGUUAGCGGCGGAUGGGUGAGUAACACGUGGGCAACCUGCCCUGCAGUUGGGGAUAACUCCGGGAAACCGGGGCUAAUACCGAAUAAUCAGUUCCUUCGCAUGAAGGAACUCUGAAAGACGGCUAUGCUGUCACUGCAGGAUGGGCCCGCGGCGCAUUAGCUAGUUGGUGAGGUAACGGCUUACCAAGGCGACGAUGCGUAGCCGACCUGAGAGGGUGAUCGGCCACACUGGGACUGAGACACGGCCCAGACUCCUACGGGAGGCAGCAGUAGGGAAUCUUCCACAAUGGACGAAAGUCUGAUGGAGCAACGCCGCGUGAGCGAAGAAGGUUUUCGGAUCGUAAAGCUCUGUUGUGAGGGAAGAACAAGUACAGGAGUAACUGCCUGUACCUUGACGGUACCUCAUUAGAAAGCCACGGCUAACUACGUGC